Molecule: transfer RNA, 71 nt
Filed under: Candidatus Kaiserbacteria bacterium
Lineage: Bacteria; Candidatus Kaiseribacteriota
Also listed under: 1 other name
Description: tRNA-Gly
Rfam family: tRNA
About the family: Transfer RNA (tRNA) molecules are approximately 80 nucleotides in length. Their secondary structure includes four short double-helical elements and three loops (D, anti-codon, and T loops).
Source: RNAcentral
GCGAGUAUAGUUUAGUGGUAGAACGCGGCCUUGCCAUGGCUGAGACGGGAGUUCGAUUCUCCCUACUCGCA